This 405-nucleotide ribosomal RNA is filed under the name uncultured bacterium. Its description in RNAcentral is "partial 16S ribosomal RNA". It matches the Rfam family "Bacterial small subunit ribosomal RNA", at positions 30 to 526 of the family's 1533-position model. The record is from RNAcentral.
AUUGAACGCUAGCGGGAUGCUUUACACAUGCAAGUCGAACGAGUGGCGGACGGGUGAGUAAUCUAUCGGAACGUGCCCAGUAGCGGGGGCUCACUAAUCGUAAGAGUGGCUAAUACCGCAUACUUUUGGAGCGGCCGAUAUCGUAUUAGCUAGUUGGUGGGGUCAAGGCUCACCACGGCACGGAACCGUAGCUGGUUUGAGAGGACGACCAGCCACACGGGGACUGAGACACGGCCCAGACUCCUACGGGAGGCAGCAGUGGGGAAUUUUGGACAAUGGGGGAAACCCUGAUCCAGCCAUCCCGCGUGUAUGAGAAGGCCUUCGGGUUGUAAAGUACUUUUGGCAGAGAAGCGGUAUCUGCAGAAUAAGCACCGGCUAACUACGUGCCAGCAGCCGCGGUAAUUC